AGACGUCUACAUUAGAUACCCCCCGUAGUCCCAGCCGUAAACUAUGCGCGUUAGGUGUAUCGGUGACCACGAGUCACCGAGGUGCCGAAGGGAAACCGUGAAACGUGCCGCCUGGGAAGUACGGUCGCAAGGCUGAAACUUAAAGGAAUUGGCGGGGAGCACCACAACAGGUGGAGCCUGCGGUUUAAUUGGAUUCAACGCCGGACAUCUCACCGGAUAAGACAGCUGAAUGAUUGUCAAUCUGAAGGUUUUACAUGACUAGCUG
RNAcentral lists this ribosomal RNA (265 nucleotides) under uncultured archaeon. RNAcentral describes it as "partial 16S ribosomal RNA". It matches the Rfam family "Archaeal small subunit ribosomal RNA", at positions 714 to 982 of the family's 1478-position model. The record is from RNAcentral.